AGAGCAAAAGGGCAAACCCGCUGAAAGGCGGGGACGCAAAGCCACGGGUCUGAAGCUGAAAAGCCAUGACAGCCGGGUUGCCGAA
RNAcentral lists this non-coding RNA (85 nucleotides) under Desulfobacterales bacterium. RNAcentral describes it as "c-di-GMP sequence". It matches the Rfam family "c-di-GMP-I riboswitch aptamer". Rfam says of the family: GEMM was predicted in a large-scale screen for bacterial structured RNA regulatory elements. Genes associated with GEMM are involved in a diverse array of functions, including chemotaxis regulation, signal transduction, secretion and chitin. The record is from RNAcentral. Lineage: Bacteria; Pseudomonadati; Thermodesulfobacteriota; Desulfobacteria; Desulfobacterales.